UCCAGUCAGAAUCUCAUGGCAGUUAUGAGUAACAUGACAAAAUACUGAAAAAAACCCGUGGCGGCCAACGUGUUAAAGCAAUAAACUUUCUAUAAAAACCCCUACAUAAAUAAUGCAGAAUUUGGUUAACAACGCUUGUCAGAUAUUGACUGAAGUUUCUAGCAAACAGCAGUCUGUUCAGAAAAACUUUAAGAACCUUUGUAAUGGCAAAAGAGGUAACGCUGGGACAAGAAAAUAUUUUAAAGACAAGUGUGAAAUACAAUAACUACAAAACACGGGAAAAGUUGCAUACACCGGAUAUCAACCACUCGUAUCUCUUCAUUUAUAUUACCGUAAGACAAUUUAUACGAUAACCAGGCUAUUUGAUUAAUACAAAUAGACAUAAAAAAGAUUAACUUCGUAAUAAGAAAUGGUUGAAAGAAGGAUUUAAAUAAAUAGUUAACAAAAUAUUUCAUUGAAGAGAUCAUAUUUUAAUAGCUAACAAUUAGCAGAUUUAGAAGUAUGAACGGAACCGAUUUGCGGGUAAGAUGACAGAGAAUUUUAAAUAUUGUAAUAUAGAUUAAACUUAUCUGAUAUUUAUUUUUUUUUUCACCUUUUUUUGAAUAGAAACCAUAGUAGUAAUUAAUAUAGGUCUUGUAACUUUUUCUACAGUAGUCAUAUCUAUAAAUCUAUAAAUAUAAACAACUGUACAUAAUAUUAUUGUAUGUCAUCAAGUAAUUUUUUUAACUGCAGCUUUUUUUUUUUUUUUUACAUAUUUGACAUU
This is a long non-coding RNA of Aphis gossypii (cotton aphid), 763 nucleotides long. RefSeq lists it as uncharacterized. The record is from RefSeq and is a predicted model, not a curated record. Lineage: Eukaryota; Metazoa; Arthropoda; Insecta; Hemiptera; Aphididae. The transcript has 4 exons.